Phragmites australis (common reed) is the source of this 1329-nucleotide long non-coding RNA. RefSeq lists it as uncharacterized. The transcript is spliced from 6 exons. Lineage: Eukaryota; Viridiplantae; Streptophyta; Magnoliopsida; Poales; Poaceae. The record is from RefSeq and is a predicted model, not a curated record.
CCCCCCCCCCCCCCCCCCGGCCCCCGCGCCGGUCAUCGCUCGUGCCCCGCUGCGUUAGCCCCGACGCCUGCGGACUGCGUGAACUAUGGAACCUCCUCCUCCGUGCCAGCUAGAAGUACGGGAGGGAUAAACACUAUCAACAAGGAUAGCUCUUCUCCCACUGAUUCCAAGGACUUGCGCGCUAAGUUGGUAUUGCUGGGAGACUCAGGUGUUGGGAAAAGCUGCAUUGUUCUUCGCUUUGUUCGCGGUCAGUUUGAUCCUACUUCCAAGGUAAUUUACUGUUUUGAGCCAAUUGGGCCAUGGAUGAAAAAUGUUAUUCGUCACCUUAGAAUCUUUGAUGCAUUACUUUUGCCUGUAGAAUUUCCUUUCACCAACUUCUCAAGUGAUUAUAAGUAACUGUUGGUGCAUCUUUUUUAUCACAAACAUUGGCAUUGGAAGACUCAACAAUAGUGAAGUUUGAAAUCUGGGAUACUGCUGGGCAAGAGAGGUGCAUAUUUGGUGCUGUAGACAAGUACUUCUUGUUUUGGGUAACAAAUAUGUUGUUGACUUCACAGAACAGUUUUAGUAACGUAAUCAGAAGAUUUCCGAUAGUAUUCUAUGCAAAUUUGUCCCAUCUUCUUUGCAAGGACAUGCAUGUAUUUUCCUGAAUCAAAGAAGUCACGAGAAUUGAGAGCCUGUUGAUUUCAGGUAUGCUGCAUUGGCACCACUUUACACAGAGGAGCUACUGCAGCAAUUGUUGUCUACGACAUAACUAGUCCAGAAUCAUUUAGCAAAGCACAAUACUGGGUAGAGUUAAACUGAACUUUAGAAACAUGGUAGUCCUGGUAUUGUAAUGGUUUUGGUUGGGAAUAAGGCUGGUCUACAUGAAAAUCGAAGCGUAUCUACGCAGGAUGCACAAGAGUACACAGAGAAGAACAAUAUGUUUUUCAUUGAGACGUCAGCAAAGACAGCUGAUAAUAUAAACCAAUUGUUUGAGGACAGGAAAUUGCAUAGAGGUUGCCCAGGCCAACGGCGCCCUGACAUUGUGGCGUGUAUUGAAGAGCUACACAAAUACAAAUUUGUACCAUGUAAUGCGUGUAGCAUUUCAGGUCAGCCUACACGUGUGGGCGUUGUUUGGAUGACUGGCGCUCAUGUAAAGCUUACUCCGAUGUGCUAAUCGUGGAGAACCUUUGCUCUUGCAUAUCCUUGGAUGGUGGGUACAAUGAAAUUCUAGGAUGGUGCAAUUUUGAAUCUAGUGGCAUGCUAGGAGAUGAAUUUCGUCUGAACUUUAUGUACUUACCGGGCAAUUCGUAUCCGUGUUUGGUUCAUAAUUGCUGUUAUUUUUCGAAA